UUAAGUGAAUAAGGGCGCACGGUGGAUGCCUUGGCACUAGGAGCCGAUGAAGGACGGGACUAACACCGAUAUGCUUUGGGGAGCUGUACGUAAGCUAUGAUCCAGAGAUUUCCGAAUGGGGGAACCCAACAUCUUUAAUAGGAUGUUACGAUUGUGUGAAUACAUAGCACAUUCGAGGUAGACGCAGAGAACUGAAACAUCUAAGUACCUGCAGGAAGAGAAAGAAAAUUCGAUUCCCUGAGUAGCGGCGAGCGAAACGGGAAAAGCCCAAACCAGCAAGCUUGCUUGUUGGGGUUGUAGGACUCCAAUAUGGUAGUUCUUUCAGAUAGUCGAAUGACUUGGAAAAGUCAGUCAAAGAGGGUAAAAACCCCGUAGACGAAAUGUGGAAGACACCUAGGAGGAUCCUGAGUACGGCGGAACACGAGAAAUUCCGUCGGAAUCCGGGAGGACCAUCUCCCAAGGCUAAAUACUCCCUAGUGACCGAUAGUGAACCAGUACCGUGAGGGAAAGGUGAAAAGCACCCCGGAAGGGGAGUGAAAUAGAACCUGAAACCGUGUGCCUACAACAAGUCAAAGCCCGUUAAUGGGUGAUGGCGUGCCUUUUGUAGAAUGAACCGGCGAGUUACGAUUGCAUGCGAGGUUAAGUUGAAGAGACGGAGCCGCAGCGAAAGCGAGUCUGAAUAGGGCGUUUGAGUAUGUAGUCGUAGACCCGAAACCAUGUGAUCUACCCAUGUCCAGGUUGAAGGUGCGGUAAAACGCACUGGAGGACCGAACCCACGUACGUUGAAAAGUGCGGGGAUGAGGUGUGGGUAGCGGAGAAAUUCCAAACGAACUUGGAGAUAGCUGGUUCUCUCCGAAAUAGCUUUAGGGCUAGCCUCGUAAUUGAGAAUGAUGGAGGUAGAGCACUGUUUGGACUAGGGGCCCAUCUCGGGUUACCGAAUUCAGAUAAACUCCGAAUGCCAUUCAUUCAUAUCCGGGAGUCAGACUGUGAGUGAUAAGAUCCAUAGUCGAAAGGGAAACAGCCCAGACCACCAGCUAAGGUCCCAAAAUAUAUGUUAAGUGGAAAAGGAUGUGGGGUUGCACAGACAACUAGGAUGUUGGCUUAGAAGCAGCCAUCAUUUAAAGAGUGCGUAAUAGCUCACUAGUCGAGUGACCCUGCGCCGAAAAUGUACCGGGGCUAAACAUAUUACCGAAGCUGUGGAGUACACCUUUAGGUGUAUUGGUAGGAGAGCGUUCUAAGGGCGUCGAAGGCAGAUCGUGAGGACUGCUGGAGCGCUUAGAAGUGAGAAUGCCGGUAUGAGUAGCGAAAGACAGGUGAGAAUCCUGUCCACCGAAUGACUAAGGUUUCCUGGGGAAGGCUCGUCCGCCCAGGGUUAGUCGGGACCUAAGCCGAGGCCGACAGGCGUAGGCGAUGGAUAACAGGUUGAUAUUCCUGUACCCGUUGUUUUUGUUUGAGCAAUGGAGGGACGCAGGAGGCUAAGGAAUGCAGACGAUCGGAAAUGUCUGUCCAAGCAGUAAGUCUGAAGAGGAGUCAAAUGCUUCUUUUCUUAAGGACAAGCUGUGAUGGGGAGGGAAAUAAUAGUACCGAAGUUCCUGAUGUCACACUGCCGAGAAAAGCUUCUAGUGAGAAAACAGCGGCCCGUACCGCAAACCGACACAGGUAGUCGAGGAGAGAAUCCUAAGGUGAGCGAGAGAACUCUCGUUAAGGAACUCGGCAAAAUGACCCCGUAACUUCGGGAGAAGGGGUGCUGAUCAUACGAUCAGCCGCAGUGAAUAGGCCCAAGCGACUGUUUAUCAAAAACACAGGUCUCUGCAAAAUCGUAAGAUGAAGUAUAGGGGCUGACGCCUGCCCGGUGCUGGAAGGUUAAGAGGAGUGCUUAGCGCAAGCGAAGGUACGAAUUGAAGCCCCAGUAAACGGCGGCCGUAACUAUAACGGUCCUAAGGUAGCGAAAUUCCUUGUCGGGUAAGUUCCGACCCGCACGAAAGGCGUAACGAUUUGGGCACUGUCUCAACGAGAGACUCGGUGAAAUUUUAGUACCUGUGAAGAUGCAGGUUACCCGCGACAGGACGGAAAGACCCCAUGGAGCUUUACUGUAGUUUGAUAUUGAGUGUCUGUACCGCAUGUACAGGAUAGGUAGGAGCCGUAGAAAUCGGAACGCUAGUUUCGAUGGAGGCGCUGGUGGGAUACUACCCCUGCGUUAUGGCCACUCUAACCCGCACCACUAAUCGUGGUGGGAGACAGUGUCAGAUGGGCAGUUUGACUGGGGCGGUCGCCUCCUAAAAGGUAACGGAGGCGCCCAAAGGUUCCCUCAGAAUGGUUGGAAAUCAUUCGAAGAGUGUAAAGGCAGAAGGGAGCUUGACUGCGAGACCAACAAGUCGAGCAGGGACGAAAGUCGGGCUUAGUGAUCCGGUGGUUCCGCAUGGAAGGGCCAUCGCUCAACGGAUAAAAGCUACCCUGGGGAUAACAGGCUUAUCUCCCCCAAGAGUCCACAUCGACGGGGAGGUUUGGCACCUCGAUGUCGGCUCGUCGCAUCCUGGGGCUGUAGUCGGUCCCAAGGGUUGGGCUGUUCGCCCAUUAAAGCGGCACGCGAGCUGGGUUCAGAACGUCGUGAGACAGUUCGGUCCCUAUCCGUCGCGGGCGUUGGAAAUUUGAGAGGAGCUGUCCUUAGUACGAGAGGACCGGGAUGGACUUACCGCUGGUGUACCAGUUGUUCUGCCAAGGGCAUUGCUGGGUAGCUAUGUAGGGAAGGGAUAAACGCUGAAAGCAUCUAAGUGUGAAGCCCACCUCAAGAUGAGAUUUCCCAUUUCUUUAAGAAAGUAAGAUCCCUGAGAGAUGAUCAGGUAGAUAGGUCAGGAGUGGAAGUACAGUGAUGUAUGGAGCGGACUGAUACUAAUCGAUCGAGGACUUAACCAA
Molecule: ribosomal RNA, 2913 nt
Filed under: Enterococcus faecium EnGen0057
Lineage: Bacteria; Bacillati; Bacillota; Bacilli; Lactobacillales; Enterococcaceae
Description: bacterial LSU rRNA
Rfam family: Bacterial large subunit ribosomal RNA
Source: RNAcentral